UCUUGUACUCACCGCCCGUCACACCAUGGGAGUUGAUUUCACUCGAAGUGGAAA
Molecule: ribosomal RNA, 54 nt
Filed under: Campylobacter helveticus
Lineage: Bacteria; Pseudomonadati; Campylobacterota; Epsilonproteobacteria; Campylobacterales; Campylobacteraceae
Description: 16S rRNA. Bacterial SSU
Source: RNAcentral